RNAcentral lists this ribosomal RNA (704 nucleotides) under Staphylococcus aureus. Its description in RNAcentral is "bacterial SSU rRNA". It matches the Rfam family "Bacterial small subunit ribosomal RNA", at positions 1 to 686 of the family's 1533-position model. The record is from RNAcentral. Lineage: Bacteria; Bacillati; Bacillota; Bacilli; Caryophanales; Staphylococcaceae.
UUUUAUGGAGAGUUUGAUCCUGGCUCAGGAUGAACGCUGGCGGCGUGCCUAAUACAUGCAAGUCGAGCGAACGGACGAGAAGCUUGCUUCUCUGAUGUUAGCGGCGGACGGGUGAGUAACACGUGGAUAACCUACCUAUAAGACUGGGAUAACUUCGGGAAACCGGAGCUAAUACCGGAUAAUAUUUUGAACCGCAUGGUUCAAAAGUAAAAGACGGUCUUGCUGUCACUUAUAGAUGGAUCCGCGCUGCAUUAGCUAGUUGGUAAGGUAACGGCUUACCAAGGCAACGAUGCAUAGCCGACCUGAGAGGGUGAUCGGCCACACUGGAACUGAGACACGGUCCAGACUCCUACGGGAGGCAGCAGUAGGGAAUCUUCCGCAAUGGGCGAAAGCCUGACGGAGCAACGCCGCGUGAGUGAUGAAGGUCUUCGGAUCGUAAAACUCUGUUAUUAGGGAAGAACAUAUGUGUAAGUAACUGUGCACAUCUUGACGGUACCUAAUCAGAAAGCCACGGCUAACUACGUGCCAGCAGCCGCGGUAAUACGUAGGUGGCAAGCGUUAUCCGGAAUUAUUGGGCGUAAAGCGCGCGUAGGCGGUUUUUUAAGUCUGAUGUGAAAGCCCACGGCUCAACCGUGGAGGGUCAUUGGAAACUGGAAAACUUGAGUGCAGAAGAGGAAAGUGGAAUUCCAUGUGUAGCGGUGAAA